CCACCUCCUCCUCCUGCUCCUCCCCCCCACCCCAUCCCCUUCUCAGCUGCGGCUAAAACCAUGGAGUCUUGGGGAAAAAAGGAAAAAAAAAAAAAAAAGCUCAGCUGUGGAGACUGAUCAAACCGGGCAUGCUCAGUA
Molecule: small RNA, 138 nt
Filed under: Marmota marmota marmota (Alpine marmot)
Lineage: Eukaryota; Metazoa; Chordata; Mammalia; Rodentia; Sciuridae
Description: SMAD5 antisense RNA 1 conserved region 2 (ENSMMMG00000005589.1)
Source: RNAcentral